Long non-coding RNA from Amphiprion ocellaris (clown anemonefish), 5126 nucleotides. The record is from Ensembl. NCBI's taxonomy places the organism in Eukaryota, Metazoa, Chordata, Actinopteri, Pomacentridae.
GUUGAAAGACUAAUUGAUUAUUAGAAAACCCUUGUGCAAUUAUGUUAGCACAUGAACAAAAGUGUGAGUUUUCAUGGAAAACAUGAAAUUUCUUGGGUGACCCCAAGCUUUAUAGUGUAAAUCCUAUUGGCUACGUUGCCUCCUAGUUUGUGAAAGGUCACCUAGUAUUUAUUCUCUUGAAAAUAGGUGUUUAACUCCAAUAUAACAUAAAUAUGAAAGGCACAAACUGGAGUUGGUUCCAUACAGUCAGUAAAUAGAGACACUGCUACAACUGUUAGUAUGGAGCACCUGAUUGGCUCUUCCAGGGACACAUGGAGGACUUUGAUGUCUGAUGUUUCAGCACUAACUUUAAUUACAUGGUCAUCUGCCAGACUCUCACUCUACAAUCUGUGAUCAUCGCUCCAUUUGCCUGCUUUACACUAAAGAUCAGACAGAAGGCUACAAAGCUAACCAGCAUGAGACAGUUUAGAAAGUUAAAGCUGCAGUAGGCAGAGAUGUCAGAGAUCUCAUCUGCUCUGGGUGAAAGCCCCAUGAUUGGCUAAAAUCUCCUAUCACUGUCUAAAGCUUGUAAACAGGAGGAGGUGAAGGUGUCUGCAGAUGUCAAGGGUUGGUAUAGGAUUUUUGUCCAGUCAGAAACUACUGUUGACCCCAGCUUUAAUUUGCUGAAAAUUUCACUUACAUUUAUUACUUGACACAAAUUUGGUGCACAAAUCACAGCAGCCUGCAACACACUGACAAAAGCUGUCUUACAUGGAAGUAAAUUAUUACACACCUUUUCAGAAACAUACGUUUUAUGUGCAUGGUUUGUUGUGGCCUUACAAAGAUCACAUUGUUGUGACGGAUAAACGUACAGCAAAGAAUAGGAUCAUUAACUCUUUAGAGAAUCCUGUUUGUCCAUAACAACUUCAAUUCUUGUCCCCACAUGGAACAAUUGAGACAACCUGCCCAAGCUUUUUACCCAAGCGAAAUACCAUGAAGUAUCUUCUGCUGCACAGAGGAUUGUGUGCCAGAAACGCAUGCUAAUUUGCAUAAUGCAAAAUGCAAUCAUGCAGAUCCUGGUAUUUUUUGCAUAGUGCAUUGGACACAUUAUGUACUAGGACAUACUAAAUCUUCUUCUGGAACACUAUACUGUAUGGAUGUAUGGGCAUUAGAAUGCACUCCACUUAAAAUGAGCAAAUAUUUCCUUUAGUCCCGAGCAGCAACUUCCAGGGCUGACAAAUUAACCUGACAUUAGAGUGCAGUUUCUCAUACGUCCACUUGAGACUGGCUUCAAAAGCAAGUCAAUCCCCUUAGACCCUCAUGUUAAAAUGUCUAAGUUUACAGCAAAAAUAAAAAUGUUUACAGGAAAUGAUUUUGAUUUCUAUAGCUAAUUCCCCUUUUGUGGAAACUGUAUCACCCAUUUGAAUGCAUUAAAGCUUAAAGUUAUGUAUUAUUAGGGUGUGACUGCUUUGAGUGGCAGGGGUGUACUGUACUCGGAAAGUCUAUGGUCCAGACAUUUGCAUGGCCUUCAUCAGCUCCAACCAGAAGUUAGGAAGUGUCAAACACUGCCAACACCGUGACAGCCAGAUCCACCAUACUGAGCUUUACAACUGCACUGAAUGUUCAUCUAUCUUUAUAGACAGUCUAUGCUUGAACCUCACAGCAAGAUGCUGGUAAAAGUGUCUAUGUUUUGUCCAGUAUUGCAGUGAACUCUGGGCAUCAACAAUCUCUCAACUGUACUGUACUUAGUGUCAAUAUAUCACAUCACACCAAAGAUCUGGAGUCACCUCUGUUUCUGUUCCAGAGAGGUUUGGAUAGUCAGGAAAAAAUGAUUUGAGUGAAAUUCAAUACAAAUAUGGUGACUGAUUAAGUUCUAUUCUACUGCCUCAAACUGAACUCAUCAAUGGGCUAUUUUUGGCGGUAGUUUGUUUCUAGGUUGUUUGUUGUGUUACCAGCAUUCUUGGUUUUAGUUCCAGAGUUGCUACAACUCAUCAAAGUCAAACCUGUCUUUCAUGAGUAUCUCAGAGAGGUGUUUACUUUAUGCUGGGCGGUGUACCAACAUGGACUGAACAGAGGGAAAAUGAAUGGAGAGUGUCAGAUGGAAAAAGCACUGAGCUACUUCCACCGUCAGGUCUGAGUGGACAUUCAGGUCUGAGGGCAGAAAUGAUUCAGUUCUGCAGUCGGACGAUUAGUUUCAGCUUCUUGCUGUCAUCCAUCUCAUCUAUCUCUCAUUUAUUCUGCACACAUCCAUCUACUAAAUGACUCUGCCUUCCCUGAGCUUCCAUCUGUCUGUGAUCUGUCCAUCCAUCCAUGUUCUGCAAGUCAUGCAGCAGCAGUUUUCACUUACUUUGUAGGUAGUACUGGAGUAACUAUGACUUUAUAUCUGAAACAUGAUCUUACAUAAGGCUACUUUUGUGAAAUUAUUUUGCCAACAAAUAUAAAUUAACUGUAACUUGUUAACAGAGGAAACCAGAUACAAAUACAUGCCAUAUUCUGUAGCUCCGUUUUGAGCAGCUGAGCUAAAGCUGACUGAAAUUCGAGAGGCUUUACAACCAUUUUGACACAUUUGCUGAUAUUUCUGUAAUUCCUACCAAGUGGGAGAUAGUCAGAGAAAUGUUUUUCCCCUACUUGCUUGCUGGCACUUACAAGUCCCAGAGUCAGAGGACAAAUUGUAUACUAAGCAAAAAAAUCUACAGCAUUCAGCUUCGAGGGAGCAGGAAUGUGUUCACUAAAUUCAGCAGUAAACUGUCCUUUAGAAACUGCAUGUAAGCAGGAAUCAGCCGCUGGAGGUGGCUUUAUGAGAUGUGAUUACCACAAUCACUAAAGUUAAUCCUCUGGGGACUACGAAUAUCCACAGCAAGUUUUAUGACAAUCUAGUUAUUAGUUAUGCUGACACAAAGUCAAUAUUUUGACACAAGGGAAGCACAAAAGACAAACUGCACAAAACCAAUUAAAAUCCAAAAGAUUCUUUGUUGUAGUUUUGAUAUAGAUAUAUGUAGAACAACAAUGAAUAAUCAACAAAUCCACAACAAUUAAAAACAAUCUUUCAUGAUCAGAAUUCAUCCUCUGGGGACAAUGAAUAUCUACUACAAGUUUUACAGCAGACUGCCUGUAAAACUUGCCUCCGGUGGCCUCAGGAAGGCGCUAGAUGAAUGUUAGUGUAAUGACCAAACUUGAAAAGAGUCAGUCCUGUGAAGAACUGGAACUGAAAGGGAAAUGUCGGUUUCUCUGAGAUUAUAUGAGGUGAUUGUUUGUCGUUGUCUCUCCUACAGCAGAUAGUGGUUGGCAGACGAAGCGGAUGGGAAGACCAGCAUGGAGGCUAAGCAUUGACCUGCUGUGGAUGGGGUCUGCAGCAACAAGUAUUCUAGGGCCACCUUUCUGAUGAGGCACUGAUCAACCACAACAUCAUGACCACUGACAGGUGAAUUGAAUAACGUUCAUCAUAUUGAUACUAUGUGGUGUUCUGCAGGAAAACUUUGGAUUUUGGAAUCCGUGUUGAUGAGACUUAGACACCCAAAUAAACAUUGUCCCAGAUCAAGCACACUCUCUCAAGCAAAUGGCAAUCCUAAAUGUCACUGGCCUACCCCUGCAGGACAAUGCACCCCACCACAUCUCAAAAACAUCAAACAGUCAGGAACAUCUUGGGAACCAUGACAAUCACCCAAGAUGCCGCUUUGACCUCCAAACUUCCAAGACCCCAUUCUGACCAAGCAUCAACAGGAUGCAGUGGAACAAGUUUGAUUCCCAGAUGCCCAACUGCACAACCCAGAGUACCCAAAGGAUCCACUGCCAACGCUCUGGUGCCAGAUCCCAUAGGACACCCUGAGAAGUCCCCAUGUCCAGGCCCAAUGGUUCAGAGCACAUAAGGGAAACUAACACAAUAAUAGGCAGGUGGUCAUGAUGUUAUGCCUGAUCAGUGCAUGUGUCACUCUAAAGCCACUAAGAAUCCACUGACAAGAACAGUCAUUUUACCUCUCAUACAAUAGAAGUUUUCGGUCCACUGCCUCCACAAUUGGUAACUUUGUGUUAUUGUGCCACACAGCAGUAGACCAACAACUAUUUUACUCUGCAAGAUAAAAUUACUGUUUUUGUCAAUGGAGUGUGGUGGCAUUAAAGAAAGUAAUAGAACAGUAUCCCUGUUGGAAAGGGCUCUUUGAUGGAAAAGCAAAGUAGUGAAAAUAAUCUAAAUACAGCACACACUUAAAGCUGUGUUUCCUUUUCGCUGGGCUUCUUUUUAGGCAGCUGAUCCACAGCAGUUCAUUGCUUCACCUCUGUGCAGGUCCUCCUGUUUACUUUUAAUAUAUCGACUGUCAUCUAGUGUAGGCAACAUGCUGACUCAUGUAAUCCUGCUUUGAAGAAACCAAACUAUCCCUUUGAAGCAAAGAGUAAAUCCUAAAGAACUGCACAUUAGUUUUGAUUCUAACGACAUUUUGGGGGGAAAGCGACGCUAGGGGUGGUGAUCAUGGUGUCACUGUUUGGAUUAAUCCUCUGGGGACCACAAAUACCAGCAGCAUGUUUCAUAUAAGUUAUGGCUGACAGUAAUCCACAGUCAGAUCUGGGUAACAGGAAUAUAUUUUUUCAUUUAGCACACAAGAACAGCCAGCGAGCCGUCAACAUGCCUGUAAUGUUUCCCAGCUACUUUGAAGUGUCGAUGUAUUUGCUUUCAAAGAAAGGACAACUGUACAUUGUGAACGCCUCGUUGACAUCCGUUCUGAUCCAAAAACUUGCAUGGUUGUUAGCUGUUAUUCAAUAUCAUGUAUAGUAAGAAGUUUCUUGUUCAACUGCCAAUCAGAAUAUAAAGACACAACAUGCGGAGGAUUAAUCAAAGAAUAAAAUCUUCUUUAAAAUUCUAUAUUUUCACCAAUUUUUAAGGAGAUCCUGUAUAUUUACAUACAAAUUUCCUGAUGAAAUAAUGCUAAAUGAGAACAUACUGCAUAUGGACCCAACAAACUGAAAAAAAGUGAAUGCAAUGAUGACCAAUGCAUUUUACUGUGCUAGUUUUGAUAUACUGGAUUUCUCCUGUACUGGCUCCAGUGUUCAACUGGAGCUUUAUAGCGUGAAAAAAAAGUUCAUUUCAUUCCAGAAAAACACUGUUCCUGUUUGUUCACUAUGAAAGUCUAAUGUUCAAGAAUGCUCUGUAAUUGUGC